UAGAACAUCGCCUUCGGGAUGCACUCAGAUC
Molecule: non-coding RNA, 31 nt
Filed under: Rattus norvegicus (Norway rat)
Lineage: Eukaryota; Metazoa; Chordata; Mammalia; Rodentia; Muridae
Source: RNAcentral